This 254-nucleotide ribosomal RNA is filed under the name uncultured bacterium. RNAcentral describes it as "partial 16S ribosomal RNA". It matches the Rfam family "Bacterial small subunit ribosomal RNA", at positions 524 to 776 of the family's 1533-position model. The record is from RNAcentral.
UACGGGGGGAGCAAGCGUUGUUCGGAUUUACUGGGCGUAAAGGGCGCGUAGGCGGCCACCGCAAGUCAAUUGUGAAAUCUCCGGGCUUAACUCGGAACGGUCAAGUGAUACUGUCGUGCUAGAGUACAGAAGGGGCAACUGGAAUUCUCGGUGUAGCGGUGAAAUGCGUAGAUAUCGAGAGGAACACCUGCGGCGAAGGCGGGUUGCUGGGCUGAUACUGACGCUGAGGCGCGAAAGCUAGGGGAGCGAACGGG